UUGUUUAUUCUUCUAGACUCAGACAACAUAUUUAAAAGGAGUUGGGAGGUCUUCUGGCAGGCUGCAGUCACCUGACAGGCACUGCCGAAGCAACAAGGUAGGUAUUCACAGGGUGGGAGAUGUGCGCCAACAGGCACUGUCUCUGUAAUGAUCCUUCCGCAGGUUCACCUACGGAAA
RNAcentral lists this unclassified non-coding RNA (177 nucleotides) under uncultured fungus. Its description in RNAcentral is "sequence contains ITS1". The record is from RNAcentral. Lineage: Eukaryota; Fungi.